Long non-coding RNA from Oreochromis aureus, 613 nucleotides. NCBI's taxonomy places the organism in Eukaryota, Metazoa, Chordata, Actinopteri, Cichliformes, Cichlidae. The record is from Ensembl.
GCGCGACCGGCGGGCCUUGAACUUUAAGAGAAGAAAAACUUUCUCACGGACGGUGACAGCGAAACGGAUAACAGUCUUGAGUACCUGCUGGUCUUUGAAGCUCUGGAUUCUGGGACUGUUGGAAAAGAGGCGGUGGCGAGAGGGGAGACCUCGGCUCAUCCAGCUGGAGAGCCUGACCAGGAGGAGUCGAACAUUAACUCGGCUCUUCCAGGACACCCUGCAGACUUGGCUGCUGGCAACAGCGAGGGAUGAUGUGAACGCCAAACUGGAGUCCAUCACAGGUCGACUGCAGCUCCUUGUCUCAGAGUGGGAGGGAUUUGAAGCACAAAGGGAGGAGCUUGUCGUUUGGUUGGCUGAUAUGGAUGCCCGUCUGAGUGAGGUUGACCAGCUGACAGGAAACACCUGUGAAAAACUGAAACAACUGCAGGUGUGGGGUUGUUUUGAUAUGAUACAUAUGUCAGAGAUAUUAUCCUAAACUGGACUAACAAAGAACCAUGAGUCCAACAUGAAACUUACCUUACAUAAGGUAAGGCUGAAGUUCAUUGAUAAUUUUGAUCAUAAACUUGUUGAAAUAUUUUUACUGAUCAUGCAAACAUCUGCUGAUGAAAAUGUG